RNAcentral lists this unclassified non-coding RNA (342 nucleotides) under soil metagenome. RNAcentral describes it as "partial contains 5.8S ribosomal RNA, internal transcribed spacer 2, and large subunit ribosomal RNA". The stretch from base 1 to 120 matches the Rfam family "5.8S ribosomal RNA", at positions 35 to 154 of the family's 154-position model. The record is from RNAcentral.
GAUGAAGAACGUAGUGAAAUGCGAUAAGUAAUGUGAAUUGCAGAAUUCAGUGAAUCAUCGAGUCUUUGAACGCACAUUGCGCCCGGGAGCAUUCUCCCGGGCAUGCCUGUUCGAGCGUCAUUUCAACCCUCGAUUUCCCUUUGGGGAAGUCGGCCGUUGGAGAUCGGCAGCACUGCCGGCUCCCAAAUACAGUGGCGACCCGCCGCGGGGACCCCUGCGUAGUAACUUACACUCGCACCGGAAACCAGACGUGUCACGCCGUAAAACCCCCAACUUUCUGAACGUUGACCUCGGAUCAGGUAGGAAUACCCGCUGAACUUAAGCAUAUCAAUAAGCGGAGGA